This 87-nucleotide transfer RNA is filed under the name Acidaminococcus intestini. RNAcentral describes it as "tRNA-Leu". It matches the Rfam family "tRNA". From Rfam's summary of the family: Transfer RNA (tRNA) molecules are approximately 80 nucleotides in length. Their secondary structure includes four short double-helical elements and three loops (D, anti-codon, and T loops). Lineage: Bacteria; Bacillati; Bacillota; Negativicutes; Acidaminococcales; Acidaminococcaceae. The record is from RNAcentral. RNAcentral also lists the same sequence under 6 other names.
GCGGCCAUGGCGGAACAGGCAGACGCGCUAGCUUCAGGAGCUAGUGGGGGCAACCCCGUGGAGGUUCAAUUCCUCUUGGCCGCACCA